UGGCACAUAGCAGCCUUCAUGACAGUAGCACUCCGUCAUGGGGUGUCGGGGGUCGGAGGUUCAAAUCCUCUCGUGCCGACCA
This 82-nucleotide transfer RNA is filed under the name Salmonella enterica. RNAcentral describes it as "tRNA-Pro". The record is from RNAcentral. RNAcentral also lists the same sequence under 4 other names. Lineage: Bacteria; Pseudomonadati; Pseudomonadota; Gammaproteobacteria; Enterobacterales; Enterobacteriaceae.